This 648-nucleotide ribosomal RNA is filed under the name uncultured bacterium. RNAcentral's name for it is "bacterial SSU rRNA". It matches the Rfam family "Bacterial small subunit ribosomal RNA", at positions 561 to 1211 of the family's 1533-position model. The record is from RNAcentral.
GUAAGAGCUCGUAGGCGGUUUGUCACGUCUGCUGUGAAAAUCCAAGGCUAAACCGGACUUGCAGUGGGUACGGGCAGGCUAGAGUGCGGUAGGGGAGAUGGGAAUUCCUGGUGUAGCGGUGGAAUGCGCAGAUAUCAGGAGGAACACCAAUGGCGAAGGCACAUCUCUGGGCCGUAACUGACGCUGAGGAGCGAAAGCGUGGGGAGCGAACAGGAUUAGAUACCCUGGUAGUCCACGCCGUAAACGGUGGGUGCUAGCUGUGGGCCACAUUCCACGUGGUCCGUGACGAAGUUAACACAUUAAGCACCCCGCCUGGGGAGUACGGCCGCAAGGCUAAAACUCAAAGGAAUUGACGGGGGCCCGCACAAGCGGCGGAGCAUGCGGAUUAAUUCGAUGCAACGCGAUUUACCUUACCAAGGCUUGACAUAUAGAGGAAAAGUGCAGAAAUGCACUCCCCGCAAGGUCUCUAUACAGGUGGUGCAUGGUUGUCGUCAGCUCGUGUCGUGAGAUGUUGGGUUAAGUCCCGCAACGAGCGCAACCCUCGUCCUAUGUUGCCAGCACGUAAUGGUGGGAACUCAUGGGAUACUGCCGGGGUCAACUCGGAGGAAGGUGGGGAUGACGUCAAAUCAUCAUGCCCCUUAUGUCUUG